CCACGACGGGCACCAGCACCGAGGAUGCUGGCACCGUCAGCUCACAGGGCGCCCCUGUCCUGGUUCCCUCCUUAAUGUCUUGCCAACAGGGAAGGGAAUCCAAAAGGGAAGACAGAAGGAGAUUAUGAAUUGUGAGGGAUGAGGGCAAUUUCUUCUGGAGUCUGUUGAAGUUAGUAUUUAUAGAACACCCCAAAGAACUUUCCAGAGUGCUGCCCCACAGUGGGGACCUGGCCAUCAGCUCUAGGGUCACAUUCUUACAGCACUAGGACCACAAAGGAGAAGAAAAAAAGAGGCUUCUCUGUCAGCUUC
Long non-coding RNA from Manis pentadactyla (Chinese pangolin), 309 nucleotides. RefSeq lists it as uncharacterized. The record is from RefSeq and is a predicted model, not a curated record. The transcript has 3 exons. NCBI's taxonomy places the organism in Eukaryota, Metazoa, Chordata, Mammalia, Pholidota, Manidae.